AAAGCUUGAAAAAUGGUUGAGUACUGCAAAUCCUUUACAUUUUUGGUAGAAAUUAGCUUGGUUUGCUGUUUAUCUUCAUAAGUUUGAAACCUUUCAAGAGUUUUCUGGUUCAUUCUCGGUUUAAAAUAGUUUGGAUGGACUGUUCCUUGCUGUUAUUUAGCUGUCUUAAUAUUGCUGAUGCUUUGCUGCUGGUUUUCUCCAACUUCAAGUUUAUUUCCAUUAUUGUUCUUUGUUGUAACCAGGUACACAUUUCUGGAUCCUAUUGAAUGUGAGGCUCG
Molecule: long non-coding RNA, 278 nt
Filed under: Nicotiana benthamiana
Lineage: Eukaryota; Viridiplantae; Streptophyta; Magnoliopsida; Solanales; Solanaceae
Description: long non-coding RNA (NBEN_LNC033018)
Source: RNAcentral